RNAcentral lists this ribosomal RNA (440 nucleotides) under uncultured bacterium. Its description in RNAcentral is "bacterial SSU rRNA". It matches the Rfam family "Bacterial small subunit ribosomal RNA", at positions 338 to 795 of the family's 1533-position model. The record is from RNAcentral.
CCUACGGGGGGCUGCAGUAACGAAUCUUCCGCAAUGCACGAAAGUGUGACGGAGCGACGCCGCGUGUGGGACGAAGUCCUUCGGGAUGUAAACCACUGUCAGGGGUUACCAAGUUCUGAGGAGCCCCAGAGGAAGGCACGGCUAACUCUGUGCCAGCAGCCGCGGUAAGACAGAGGUGCCGAGCGUUAGGCGGAAUCACUGGGCUUAAAGCGUGUGUAGGCGGGUCCGUAAGUACCUUGUGAAAUCCCACGGCUCAACCGUGGAACUGCUCGGUAUACUGCGGGUCUUGAGCUGUCUAGGGGCAACCGGAACAAACGGUGGAGCGGUGAAAUGCGUAGAUAUCGUUUGGAACGCCGAUGGUGAAAACAGGUUGCUGGGGACAUGCUGACGCUGAGACACGAAAGCCAGGGGAGCAAACGGGAUUAGAUACCCUUGUAGUC